UUCUUGCCUGUGAUGGUGUUAAAUAUACGAUGAGUUGUCAACUAUGACUAGCAUGUUACUCUGAGGCAUUUC
RNAcentral lists this small nucleolar RNA (72 nucleotides) under Genlisea aurea. The record is from RNAcentral. Lineage: Eukaryota; Viridiplantae; Streptophyta; Magnoliopsida; Lamiales; Lentibulariaceae.